ACAAGCGGUGGAGCAUGUGGUUAAUUCGAAGCAACGCGAAGUAACCUUACCAGGUCUUGACAUCCCGAUGCUAUUUCUAGAGAUAGAAAGUUACUUCGGUACAUCGGUGACAGGUGGUGCAUGGUUGUCGUCAGCUCGUGUCGUGAGAUGUUGGGUUAAGUCCCGCAACGAGCGCAACCCCUAUCUUUAAUUGCCAUCAUUCAGUUGGGCACUUUAAGAGACUGCCGGUGUUAAACCGGAGGAAGGUGGGAUGACGUCAAGUCAGCAUGGCCCUUAUGUCCAGGGCUACACACGUGCUACAAUGGGCGAUACGGAGGGAAGCAAGGCCGCAAGGUAGAGCUAAUCCCUAAAGUCGUCCUCAGUUCGGAUUGCAGGCUGCAACUCGCCUGCAUGAAGUCGGAAUCGCUAGUAAUCGCGGAUCAGCUACGCCGCGGUGAAUACGUUCUCGGGCCUU
This 454-nucleotide ribosomal RNA is filed under the name uncultured Streptococcus sp. Its description in RNAcentral is "bacterial SSU rRNA". It matches the Rfam family "Bacterial small subunit ribosomal RNA", at positions 925 to 1382 of the family's 1533-position model. Lineage: Bacteria; Bacillati; Bacillota; Bacilli; Lactobacillales; Streptococcaceae. The record is from RNAcentral.